Molecule: non-coding RNA, 987 nt
Organism: Cinara cedri
Lineage: Eukaryota; Metazoa; Arthropoda; Insecta; Hemiptera; Aphididae
Source: the annotation of a GenBank genome assembly
GUGCGUAGAAAGUAUUUCGGUAUGUAUCCGCGUACAAGGGAAAAAAAAUAACUAAAAAUCGAAACACAAAACAAAACGCGUAGGAGGCGAAAACGGACGGCUGCAAUAAUAACGGCGAUAUUGUUAAUAUCAUUACGCGAUACUCGCGGAGACUUUAACGGCCCGUCGCGAGUGCAUGGCGCGCUUCCCGGAUCACACUCUCGAGCGCGUUUUGAUUUAUUGUACUUUUUUUUUUUUUGUAUUAUUUCGUUCGCCAUCGCAAUAUAAUAUCACAUCGCGAAUAAUACAAUAGACUUUUACUUUUUUUUUUUUUUUUUUUUUUUUUAAUAUACGUAUACGCACCUAUUAUGGGUACAUAAUAUUAUACAUUCAUAGAUACGUGACGAUGACAACAAACACCGCCGCAGCCGGCGCUCUCGACGGUUUAAUUUUUUUUGUUUUUAUCUAUAGGCGCAUUCGUAAUAACAUAUAAUGGGUAGUACACAGUGUACACCGCGACUGCACGCCCACGAGCGAUUAUGCGAUAAUUUUUCGCCGGUAUAAUACAAUAACGAUAAUAAUAUUAUACCGCACGAGAAACGAAAUGACAACGAUGUCGUAUAGCGCCGCGCGGUCGUCCGACCGCGGGCGACAUGCCUCGGAUAACGCAUUACACUGCGGUGAAAUAACAAAACAAUGGCAAUAAACGCCACGCUGUUUUUCGUAAGAACGAACGAAAACAAACUGCAUCCUCUAUGCGCGUAUAAUAUAAUGGGACGUUAUGCUAAUAGAGAAUUCAAGAAUAUUAAAUUGUUAUUAUUAUUGUCUAUGUGCGUACACACACACACGCGCGCGCGCGCGCGCGAAAUCAUACGAUAUAAUAUGUAUUUCAAUUUACGUGUGUUCUAUGGGGUUAUUUUUUUAUUAUUUUUUUUUCUAUUCCUAUUGUAUUUAAUUUGUUUCACAAAUAUAAUAUUUUAUUAUUGUAUCACGGUAUCCGACCUUCAC